UAGAGGAGAGUACCGUGAGGGAAAGGUGAAAAGAACCCUGAGCAAGGGAGUGAAAAAGAAUUUGAAACCGUGUGCUUACAAGCGGUAGGAGCGCGAAAGCGUGACUGCGUGGAUUUUGGUUAAUCAUCCUGCGAGUUAUGAUGUGUGGCGAGGUUAAGUAUAAGCGGAGCCGAAGGGAAACCGAGUCUUAAUAGGGCGACGAGUCGCAUGUCAUAGACGCGAAACCUAGUGAUCUAGGCCUGUCCAGGCUGAAGCUGAGGUAAGACUCAGUGGAGGGCCGAACUCACCGCCGUUGAAAAGUUGGGAGAUGAGGCAGGUCUAGGGGUGAAAAGCCAAUCGAACUAGGAGAUAGCUCGUUCUCUCCGAAAUGCAUUUAGGUGCAGCCUUAGUUGAAGAUAUGCGGGGGUAGAGCACUGUAUGGCCUAGGGGGCGUAUAGCUUACCGAAGUCAAGCAAACUGCGAAUACCGUAUAUUGUUAACUGGGAGUGAGUCUAUGGAUGACAAGGUCCGUGGACGAGAGGGGAACAGCCCAGACCGCCGGCUAAGGUCCCAAAUCAUGUCUAAGUGGGAAAGGAGGUGGAUAUUCACAGACAACCAGGAGGUUGGCUUAGAAGCAGCCAUACCUUGAAAGAGUGCGUAAUAGCUCACUGGUCGAGAGUAUCUGCGCCGAAGAUAUAACGGGGCUAAGACAUGAACCGAAGCCGCGGAAUUAGUUUAUACUAAUUGGUAGGAGAGCGUUCUGUAGGCCGUAGAAGGGGUGUUGUAAGACAUUCUGGAGGUAUCAGAAGUGAGAAUGCAGGAAUGAGUAGCGAGAAGGAGGGCGAGAAUCCCUCCGGCCGGAAGUCCAAGGUUUCCAGGGGAAGGUUUGUCCGCCCUGGGGGAGUCGGGACCUAAGCAUAAGCAGAGCUGCGAAGGCGAAUGGAAAACAGGUUAAUAUUCCUGUACCGCUGUGUACUGUCUGAGAGAUGGAGUGACGCAGGAAGGUAUGCGGGAAGGCUGACGGAAUAGCCUUUCUAAGGGUGAAGCGUGGACAUGCAGGCAAAUCCGCAUGUUUAUACGUGAGGCCUGAUGGGGAAGUGCCAUAUGGCAUAAGCCGCAGAUCCUACACUGCCGGGAAAAACUUCUAUUGAGGGAAACAGCGCCCGUACUGUAAACCGACACAGGUGGACAGAGUGAGAAACUUAAGGCCGACAGGAUAACUCUGGCUAAGGAACUCUGCAAAAUGGCCCCGUAACUUAGGGAGAAGGGGUACCCGUGAUACCUGAAGGGAGAGACACCUGAAGGGGAGACGGGUCGCAGUGAAGAGUCCCAAGCAACUGUUUACCAAAAACACAGGUCUAUGCUAAGCUGGAAGGCGACGUAUAUGGGCUGACACCUGCCCAGUGCCGGAAGGUUAAGAGGAGGAGUGAGAGCUCCGAUUUGAAGCCCCGGUGAACGGCGGCCGUAACUAUAACGGUCCUAAGGUAGCGAAAUUCCUUGUCGGGU
RNAcentral lists this ribosomal RNA (1485 nucleotides) under human oral metagenome. Its description in RNAcentral is "bacterial LSU rRNA". It matches the Rfam family "Bacterial large subunit ribosomal RNA", at positions 488 to 1977 of the family's 2925-position model. The record is from RNAcentral.